Molecule: non-coding RNA, 29 nt
Filed under: Macaca fascicularis (crab-eating macaque)
Lineage: Eukaryota; Metazoa; Chordata; Mammalia; Primates; Cercopithecidae
Also listed under: 1 other name
Source: RNAcentral
UUUCCAUGUCAGAGCUUUCAAAGUUGCCU